This 253-nucleotide ribosomal RNA is filed under the name uncultured bacterium. RNAcentral describes it as "partial 16S ribosomal RNA". It matches the Rfam family "Bacterial small subunit ribosomal RNA", at positions 524 to 776 of the family's 1533-position model. The record is from RNAcentral.
UACGUAGGGUGCAGGCGUUGUCCGGAAUUAUUGGGCGUAAAGAGCUCGUAGGCGGCUUGUCGCGUCUGCUGUGAAAACUCGGGGCUUAACCCCGGGCCUGCAGUGGGUACGGGCAGACUAGAGUGCGGUAGGGGAGACUGGAAUUCCUGGUGUAGCGGUGAAAUGCGCAGAUAUCAGGAGGAACACCGGUGGCGAAGGCGGGUCUCUGGGCCGUAACUGACGCUGAGGAGCGAAAGCGUGGGGAGUGAACAGG